RNAcentral lists this ribosomal RNA (519 nucleotides) under uncultured bacterium. Its description in RNAcentral is "bacterial SSU rRNA". It matches the Rfam family "Bacterial small subunit ribosomal RNA", at positions 788 to 1312 of the family's 1533-position model. The record is from RNAcentral.
UGGUAGUNCACGCCCUAAACGAUGUCUACUAGUUGUCGGGGAUUAAUUUCCUUGGUAACGCAGCUAACGCGUGAAGUAGACCGCCUGGGGAGUACGGUCGCAAGAUUAAAACUCAAAGGAAUUGACGGGGACCCGCACAAGCGGUGGAUGAUGUGGAUUAAUUCGAUGCAACGCGAAAAACCUUACCUACGCUUGACAUGUCCGGAACCCUGAAGAGAUUUGGGGGUGCUCGAAAGUGAGCCGGAACACAGGUGCUGCAUGGCUGUCGUCAGCUCGUGUCGUGAGAUGUUGGGUUAAGUCCCGCAACGAGCGCAACCCUUAUCAUUAGUUGCUACGCAAGGGCACUCUAAUGAGACUGCCGGUGACAAACCGGAGGAAGGUGGGGAUGACGUCAAGUCCUCAUGGCCCUUAUGUGUAGGGCUUCACACGUCAUACAAUGGUCGGUACAGAGGGUUGCGAAGCCGCGAGGUGGAGCCAAUCCCAAAAAACCGAUCGUAGUCCGGAUUGCAGUCUGCAANU